AUACGUAGGUGGCAAGCGUUGUCCGGAUUUACUGGGUGUAAAGGGCGUGUAGGCGGAGAUGCAAGUCAGGAGUGAAAUCUAGGGGCUCAACCCCUAAACUGCUUUUGAAACUGUAUCCCUUGAGUAUCGGAGAGGCAGGCGGAAUUCCUAGUGUAGCGGUGAAAUGCGUAGAUAUUAGGAGGAACACCAGUGGCGAAGGCGACUUACUGGGCCGUAACUGACGCUGAGGCGCGAAAGCGUGGGGAGCGAACAGGAUUAGAUACCCUGGUAGUCCACGCGGUAAACGAUGAAUACUAGGUGUGCGGGGACUGACCCCCUGCGUGCCGCAGCUAACGCAAUAAGUAUUCCACCUGGGGAGUACGAUCGCAAGGUUGAAACUCAAAUGAAUUGACGGGG
This 396-nucleotide ribosomal RNA is filed under the name uncultured bacterium. RNAcentral's name for it is "partial 16S ribosomal RNA". It matches the Rfam family "Bacterial small subunit ribosomal RNA", at positions 523 to 918 of the family's 1533-position model. The record is from RNAcentral.